GAUGAACGCUGGCGGCGUGCCUAAUACAUGCAAGUAGAACGCUGAAGGAGGAGCUUGCUCUUCUGGAUGAGUUGCGAACGGGUGAGUAACGCGUAGGUAACCUGCCUGGUAGCGGGGGAUAACUAUUGGAAACGAUAGCUAAUACCGCAUAACAGUAGAUAUUGCAUGAUAUCUGCUUGAAAGGGGCAAUUGCUCCACUACCAGAUGGACCUGCGUUGUAUUAGCUAGUUGGUGAGGUAACGGCUCACCAAGGCGACGAUACAUAGCCGACCUGAGAGGGUGAUCGGCCACACUGGGACUGAGACACGGCCCAGACCCCUACGGGAGGCAGCAGUAGGGAAUCUUCGGCAAUGGACGGAAGUCUGACCGAGCAACGCCGCGUGAGUGAAGAAGGUUUUCGGAUCGUAAAGCUCUGUUGUAAGAGAAGAACGAGUGUGAGAGUGGAAAGUUCACACU
RNAcentral lists this ribosomal RNA (456 nucleotides) under Streptococcus australis. RNAcentral's name for it is "bacterial SSU rRNA". It matches the Rfam family "Bacterial small subunit ribosomal RNA", at positions 28 to 470 of the family's 1533-position model. The record is from RNAcentral. Lineage: Bacteria; Bacillati; Bacillota; Bacilli; Lactobacillales; Streptococcaceae.